Molecule: ribosomal RNA, 309 nt
Filed under: uncultured eukaryote
Lineage: Eukaryota
Description: partial 18S ribosomal RNA
Rfam family: Eukaryotic small subunit ribosomal RNA
Source: RNAcentral
CCCUUAGAUGUUCUGGGCGGCCCGCGCACUACAAUGGCGUGUGUAGCGAGUGCCGAAGUAGAGUUUUCCGAGGUAUUCUUGCAGUGCUCGUUUUGAUGGGGAUAGACCCUUGCAACUGUUGGUUUUGAACGAGGAAUUCCUUGUAAGCAUGGUUUAUCAUCCGACGCUGAAUGCGUCCCUGCCCUUUGUACACACCGCCCGUCGCUCCUACCGAUGAGUCGUCCGGUGAAGUUCGUAGACCUCGUGAUCGCGGAUCACUGGGGGAAGCAAAAUGAACCUCGCGGUUUAGAGGAAGGAGAAGUCGUAACA